GCAUCGAAAGACCAUACUUCUUCAGCUUGUUUGGAAGAUUUAACCGAUUCUUACUUGUGUAAAAGUGUAAUAACAUGUUUUUUCUGUUAAAUAUUCUCUGUUUAUUUGGAUAAUUCCACAGGAACUGUCAACAGCGGACUUGAAUAGAAGAUGCGCGAGGUCAUAGAAUGGAUUUGCCCGGACUCACACGUCAUCACAGUAUAAAGGAUUUUAAUCUAAAAAGAAACCCUGCACAUUUGCAGCUGUAAGAAUGCAGAUCAUGCCAUAUGCUGUUAGAGUAAAUGAUGAAAGAUGUUCAAACCAGUGUCAAAGAGUCCCAAGUCUGAAAUCAUGGGGCUUUUCUUAAAAGCGAUCAGUGUUUGUUUUCUGUGCAUUAUUGACAUUUGUAGAACUGUUCGGUUUAUGACCAUCUCUCUGACAAUAACUCUGACCUUU
This is a long non-coding RNA of Saccostrea cuccullata (small rock oyster), 435 nucleotides long. RefSeq lists it as uncharacterized. The transcript is spliced from 3 exons. Lineage: Eukaryota; Metazoa; Mollusca; Bivalvia; Ostreida; Ostreidae. The record is from RefSeq and is a predicted model, not a curated record.